This 74-nucleotide transfer RNA is filed under the name Phycisphaerae bacterium. RNAcentral's name for it is "tRNA-Arg". It matches the Rfam family "tRNA". From Rfam's summary of the family: Transfer RNA (tRNA) molecules are approximately 80 nucleotides in length. Lineage: Bacteria; Pseudomonadati; Planctomycetota; Phycisphaerae. The record is from RNAcentral.
GUCCCCGUAGCUCAACUGGAUAGAGCGUUGGCCUCCGGAGCCAGAGGUUACAGGUUCGAGUCCUGUCGGGGACG